AUCUACAGCCAUGCUACCCUGAACAAGCCUGAUUUCGUCUGAUCUCAGAAGCUAAGCAGGAUCGGGCCUGGUUAGUACUUGGAUGGGAGACCACCUAAGAAGACCAGGUGCUGUAGGCA
RNAcentral lists this ribosomal RNA (119 nucleotides) under Pteropus alecto (black flying fox). The record is from RNAcentral. Lineage: Eukaryota; Metazoa; Chordata; Mammalia; Chiroptera; Pteropodidae.